Molecule: unclassified non-coding RNA, 222 nt
Filed under: uncultured fungus
Lineage: Eukaryota; Fungi
Description: partial contains 18S rRNA, ITS1, 5.8S rRNA, ITS2 and 28S rRNA
Source: RNAcentral
AAGGAUCAUUAUUGAAUGAAUGUAGAGUUGGUUGUCGCUGGCCCUUUCGGGGGCAUGUGCACGCCUUCUCUUUCAUCCACACACACCUGUGCACUUGUGAGACGGAGGACUUUUAAUUAGUUUUCCGUCUACUUAAUUACACAAACUCAUUUAAUUAAAUUGAAUGUAAUUGAUGUAACACAUCAUUAGAACUAAGUUUCAACAACGGAUCUCUUGGCUCUC